AUUGAACGCUGGCGGCAUGCCUUACACAUGCAAGUCGAACGGCAGCACGGGAGCAAUCCUGGUGGCGAGUGGCGAACGGGUGAGUAAUACAUCGGAACGUGCCCAGUAGUGGGGAUAACCCGGCGAAAGCCGGACUAAUACCGCAUACGACCUACGGGUGAAAGCGGGGGAGUCGCAAGACCUCGCGUUAUUGGAGCGGCCGAUGGCAGAUUAGCUAGUUGGUGGGGUAAAGCCACCAAGGCGACGAUCUGUAGCUGGUCUGAGAGGACGACCAGCCACACUGGGACUGAGACACGGCCCAGACUCCUACGGGAGGCAGCAGUGGGGAAUUUUGGACAAUGGGCGCAAGCCUGAUCCAGCCAUGCCGCGUGUGGGAAGAAGGCCU
RNAcentral lists this ribosomal RNA (385 nucleotides) under uncultured bacterium. Its description in RNAcentral is "bacterial SSU rRNA". It matches the Rfam family "Bacterial small subunit ribosomal RNA", at positions 29 to 417 of the family's 1533-position model. The record is from RNAcentral.